Molecule: long non-coding RNA, 2198 nt
Organism: Dicentrarchus labrax (European seabass)
Lineage: Eukaryota; Metazoa; Chordata; Actinopteri; Moronidae
Exons: 2
Source: RefSeq, a predicted model, not a curated record
UAUAGUCGCCUUUCUUUACAUAUUAUCUUAUAUAUUUUAUUAAUUUUUAAUUAAGUAAUUGUUUUCUUACAUUCAUUUCUGUUUUAAUAUCUUAUAUUAUCUUAAUUUUAUCUUAUAUUAUAUUAUAUAUAUUCUAUUUUAUAUUAAAUAUAUCUUAUAUUGUUAGUCAUUUUAAAAUGUUACUCCACAUCAUUGUAAAUGGGGACCAGCCCUGAGAGAUGUUUUAGUUUAAAUACCUAAAGUUAUAUAUUAAAGCUAUAUUUUAAAGUUAUAUAUUUAAGGUAUAUAUUAAGAGCAGCCUCAGAGGACGAGCAGCUGGUUGGCUUUGGCUGUGGACCAGAGAGCAGCUGGAGGGAGGUGUGGGACAGGAGGGCUGACGGCUACGCUGCCUUCAUCAUGAGAACUAAGUGUUUUCAGGGACUCAGAUGUACAGACUGCAGCAGUAGCUGAUAAGGAAACAGUCGGCCUCUGUCUCCUCUUCACCAGUUCCUGCCUCAAGUGCACCUGAUGAAGACACCAUCCCACCGUGCCGACAGUGAAGAGACCUGUAACCAUUCCUCCUGAGCUGCAGGUUCUGGUGACAGAGGUUGCUCAUCCCAACAAACUGAGUUCUUUCAGCGUGAACUUCAGCUAACCGAGCGCAGAGUGGAAGACAGAGCGGAAAAGAAGAGGAAACUGCCGGACCCUCAGCCUCGAGGAACAAUGUGUCGUUUCUGUCACACAGAGCUGAAGCAGGGUCCAACCAGCAGACACACACACACACACACACACACAGGAUUCCCGGGAGGAAAACACAUUCACUGUCCAGCUAAGGUCCUUGCGUCAUAAAUACAUGACAAAGGAAAUGAAGUGGAAAGAAUUUGAGGCCUCACCGUUCUAUGCGAUGGAGAAAGAGAGGGUGGACGGCAGAAAGAAAAAGAUAGCUGAGGUCAUACAUUAUCCAUCUGUUGUUCUGUUCUUCACAUUUUGUCCCAAAGGUCCAGUGUCUAACAUUUCAUUCUUUAUUUAUUAUUACAGGGUUCCCGCGGGUCCAUAAAAAGUCUUAUAUUGUCUUAAAUUGACUGUAAAGUUGCUGUAGGUAUUACAUUUUCAGCCGGUGCACUUAAUGACGAUGGGAAAGCACAGUGGCCCACCGUAAAACAUCUAAUAGUUGAUUAAUUUAGUAUUGUGUCAAAUGAGAGUCUCCACGAUUAAUAGCUGUUUUACGGUACGUCGGCUACAGACGCUGACGUAGAGCUGCGUGCCACCAUUACGCAGUUGUCGAGGUGAGGUUUAACAUGCAAAGAAGAUGGGGAAGUGCAAAUUUAACGACAAGUGGAUGGAAGAGGAUGUAUUUAGGAGGUGGUUGGCGCCGGCUGAAAACAACAAUGAGGCAAUGUGUAAAUUCUAAAAAAAAGACUUUCAUUAGGGACCAUGGGGCUCAAAGCCGUCGAGUAGACCCUAACAGCACAUUAGCUCAGAGUUUAAGGGGUGUAACUGUUGGUAGAUGUGGUUUAUUUUGUUUAAAUAUGCCGAAUUGUGAUUUUAUGGGUUGUUGGGCAAAUGUAGCUGAUAAUGUAGGCUGUCACUUGUUGCCAUAGCAACAGUAAACAUUCACGUAAGGGUUAAUGAGCUGUAAAUAGAGAUGCAGGAUCAAGCUAUGUUGGAAAUACACAUUAGAUAUGUUGUAUUUUAUCACAAAAUACAUGAUUUUACCAGUUAGUAAACCUAUAGAAAAUAAUUAGUUUAAUUUGCAAAAUGUACCAUUAAAUUUAUAGCCCACACACAGAAAGACCACAGUGACCAUAGACUGACUUGAAUAGAGCACAUAACCAGGACUGUUACUAUCUGCAUAAAGUAUUUUAAUAUCAAAGCUCACAUUUUGAAUGUACGAAGGCAUCCUGUAUCAUAACUACAUGUCUGCCGUUUGUAAUAAAACAAAUCUGAAUUGAAUUCAUAUACCAAUUAUAUCAUGAUUAACGGCUUAAAUCAUUAAAGGCUUCACAAUGUCCUUUAACAUAAACGCCGUUCGACCACGGAGCAUUGCAUUCUGUGAAAUUACAACUGAUUAAUCUGAUUGAUUUAGUUGUUUCCUUGUAUAUAUUUAUAAUUGAUUAUUGGAUAUAAAACUGAUUGAUAUGUUGUUUAUUCUUGUUUUAGCACUCUCUAAACUGCACUGAAGACACGUGUGGACAGAUUUAAUAAAACAAUGACUUUUA